This 808-nucleotide ribosomal RNA is filed under the name Bacillus subtilis. Its description in RNAcentral is "bacterial SSU rRNA". It matches the Rfam family "Bacterial small subunit ribosomal RNA", at positions 565 to 1368 of the family's 1533-position model. The record is from RNAcentral. Lineage: Bacteria; Bacillati; Bacillota; Bacilli; Caryophanales; Bacillaceae.
GGGCUUCGCAAGGCGGUUUUUUAAGUCUGAAGGUUGAAAAGCCCCCGGCUCAACCGGGGAGGGUCAUUGGAAACUGGGGAACUUGAGUGCAGAAGAGGAGAGUGGAAUUCCACGUGUAGCGGUGAAAUGCGUAGAGAUGUGGAGGAACACCAGUGGCGAAGGCGACUCUCUGGUCUGUAACUGACGCUGAGGAGCGAAAGCGUGGGGAGCGAACAGGAUUAGAUACCCUGGUAGUCCACGCCGUAAACGAUGAGUGCUAAGUGUUAGGGGGUUUCCGCCCCUUAGUGCUGCAGCUAACGCAUUAAGCACUCCGCCUGGGGAGUACGGUCGCAAGACUGAAACUCAAAGGAAUUGACGGGGGCCCGCACAAGCGGUGGAGCAUGUGGUUUAAUUCGAAGCAACGCGAAGAACCUUACCAGGUCUUGACAUCCUCUGACAAUCCUAGAGAUAGGACGUCCCCUUCGGGGGCAGAGUGACAGGUGGUGCAUGGUUGUCGUCAGCUCGUGUCGUGAGAUGUUGGGUUAAGUCCCGCAACGAGCGCAACCCUUGAUCUUAGUUGCCAGCAUUCAGUUGGGCACUCUAAGGUGACUGCCGGUGACAAACCGGAGGAAGGUGGGGAUGACGUCAAAUCAUCAUGCCCCUUAUGACCUGGGCUACACACGUGCUACAAUGGACAGAACAAAGGGCAGCGAAACCGCGAGGUUAAGCCAAUCCCACAAAUCUGUUCUCAGUUCGGAUCGCAGUCUGCAACUCGACUGCGUGAAGCUGGAAUCGCUAGUAAUCGCGGAUCAGCAUGCCGCGGUGAAUA